AUUGAACGCUGGCGGCAUGCCUUACACAUGCAAGUCGAACGGCAGCACGGGAGCAAUCCUGGUGGCGAGUGGCGAACGGGUGAGUAAAGUAUCGGAACGUGCCCAGUCGUGGGGGAUAACGUAGCGAAAGUUACGCUAAUACCGCAUACGAUCUAUGGAUGAAAGCGGGGGAUCGCAAGACCUCGCGCGAUUGGAGCGGCCGAUAUCAGAUUAGGUAGUUGGUGGGGUAAAGGCUCACCAAGCCGACCAUCUGUAGCUGGUCUGAGAGGACGACCAGCCACACUGGGACUGAGACACGGCCCAGACUCCUACGGGAGGCAGCAGUGGGGAAUUUUGGACAAUGGGCGCAAGCCUGAUCCAGCCAUGCCGUGUGCAGGAUGAAGGCCUUCGGGUUGUAAACUGCUUUUGUACGGAACGAAAAGGUUUGACUUAAUACGUUGGACUCAUGACGGUACCGUAAGAAUAAGCACCGGCUAACUACGUGCCAGCAGCCGCAGUAA
This 500-nucleotide ribosomal RNA is filed under the name uncultured bacterium. RNAcentral's name for it is "partial 16S ribosomal RNA". It matches the Rfam family "Bacterial small subunit ribosomal RNA", at positions 30 to 523 of the family's 1533-position model. The record is from RNAcentral.